CCUACGGGAGGCAGCAGUGGGGAAUAUUGCACAAUGGGCGAAAGCCUGAUGCAGCGACGCCGCGUGAGGGAUGACGGCCUUCGGGUUGUAAACCUCUUUCAGUAGGGAAGAAGCGAAAGUGACGGUACCUGCAGAAGAAGCGCCGGCUAACUACGUGCCAGCAGCCGCGGUAAUACGUAGGGCGCAAGCGUUAUCCGGAAUUAUUGGGCGUAAAGAGCUCGUAGGCGGUUUGUCGCGUCUGCCGUGAAAGUCCGGGGCUCAACUCCGGAUCUGCGGUGGGUACGGGCAGACUAGAGUGAUGUAGGGGAGACUGGAAUUCCUGGUGUAGCGGUGAAAUGCGCAGAUAUCAGGAGGAACACCGAUGGCGAAGGCAGGUCUCUGGGCAUUAACUGACGCUGAGGAGCGAAAGCAUGGGGAGCGAACAGGAUUAGAUACCCUGGUAGUCCAUGCCGUAAACGUUGGGCACUAGGUGUGGGGGACAUUCCACGUUUUCCGCGCCGUAGCUAACGCAUUAAGUGCCCCGCCUGGGGGAGGUACGGCCGCGAGACGUAAAACUUAAAUAGAAGUUAGACGGCGUGAGACGUGCCGACGGACGACGACGAGGGAGGAGG
RNAcentral lists this ribosomal RNA (611 nucleotides) under uncultured bacterium. RNAcentral's name for it is "bacterial SSU rRNA". The stretch from base 1 to 525 matches the Rfam family "Bacterial small subunit ribosomal RNA", at positions 338 to 873 of the family's 1533-position model. The record is from RNAcentral.